RNAcentral lists this ribosomal RNA (425 nucleotides) under uncultured bacterium. Its description in RNAcentral is "partial 16S ribosomal RNA". It matches the Rfam family "Bacterial small subunit ribosomal RNA", at positions 354 to 796 of the family's 1533-position model. The record is from RNAcentral.
GUUAGGAAUAUUGGACAAUGGGCGCAAGCCUGAUCCAGCCAUGCCGCGUGAACGAUGAAGGCCUUCGGGUUGUAAAGUUCUUUAGCCGAUGAUUAUAAUGACUGUAGUCGGAAAAUAAGCCCCGGCUAACUUCGUGCCAGCAGCCGCGGUAAUACGAAGGGGGCGAGCGUUAUUCGGAAUCACUGGGCGUAAAGCGUGCGUAGGCGGUCUCGUAAGUUAGGAGUGAAAGCCCAGGGCUCAACCUUGGAAUUGCUCUUAAUACUGCAAGGCUAGAAUCUCGGAGAGGAUAGCGGGAUUUGCAGUGUAGCAGUGAAAUGCGUAGAUAUUGGAAGGAACACCAGUGGCGUAAGCGGCUAUCUGGACGAGUAUUGACGCUGAGGCACGAAAGCGUGGGGAUCAAACAGGAUUAGAAACCCGAGUAGUCC